This is a long non-coding RNA of Carassius auratus (goldfish), 2503 nucleotides long. RefSeq lists it as uncharacterized. Lineage: Eukaryota; Metazoa; Chordata; Actinopteri; Cypriniformes; Cyprinidae. The transcript is spliced from 3 exons. The record is from RefSeq and is a predicted model, not a curated record.
UAUAUUUGCCCAUACAUGUUGAAAUGUCCUGUGGUCUGCCUUCAGCCUCAAUACAUGCAUCCUCAUUUUAAUAGUAAUUAUUUUGAUGGAAGUUGUUGUGAUUCUUCAACACACAUAUUUUUUUGUAAAAUGGCACAGUGUGGGGUGUACACCCAACAUGAGUCAGUUAAAUUUGUUUGCUUUUGCUUCAAAACUAAUUUCUGGAUAAAACUGCACGUACGUGCAUGCAGUUCUGUAUGUUUGUUUUGGUGUGCAUAGCUGCGCUACGAACAAAGUUGUGACUAUAAGCAAUAAGAUUUGAUUCCAUGGGUGGGUAAGAGCGUGUGCAUCAGUGCAGCUUUUGUCUGAGCAUGCAUCUGUGCGUGUGAGCAUGCAUGUGUGUGUUGUGUUUGAGUGUGUAUGCAUUUUGUGGCCUCUGGGUCUUCCUGUGAGUCAUUCUCAUGAGGUAAACCCCAGUAAAGCUGUCCUAGUCCUCUCUAAUUCCUCAUUAGCUCACGGCAGGCUGUCUCAGGGGGAUUUGUGCUGCCUGUGUGAGUGUGUGUCCGGGUGUGUGUUAGUUUGAGCCCAUGCGGUCUGAACGUGGAGAACCACAGGGCCUCUCUGUGGGAGACUGCUGUGAGCCAGGUGUGUGUCCGCUGGCAGGUGCUUGUGUGAGGGGGAGGAAGUGUUUAAACGAGCUCAUUGGGUGGGUCGGCACAGCGGUGCAUUAACUAGAUCACAGUUUGGGAUGUUCUUCUCGGCUUAUAAACUGUUGGUGUAUUAUAGCCUGUUUAAACACUUCUCUGGGACGUUCUCAUGGCGUUAACCCUCACAAAAAAGUAGUCAUGUUAUUAGGUGGUCAUGUUAUUAGUUGGUCAUACUGAAUAAUAAUCAUAUUCAUCAGAUUACUUUUUUAGCAUGUUUUCCUUUGUAAAGGACUUUUGAAACCAAGCAGUUCCUCAGCAGUGAAUGAUGCACCAUUGAAAUCAGAAAUGUUUUACAGGUCGAUGAUGGCAAAGUUACACCUCUAUUUUUAAAUGCACUGAGCUCAACAAAACAGGUGAGCCAGAUUUGUAUAUUCAGUGUUCAUUUGAUAUUAUUCUGUUUGUCUGGUGUGUAAAGGGUUUCUGUUACUGUUUGCUUUUGUCAGGGACACUAAGCCCCCCUCUAACUGGGAUCAACUGUCUGCCUGCAUGGUGGACGAGCUGCAUCCUGCCCACUGCACCCAAUUCACAGAGAAAUGUACUCAAAUCUUACAGUGCUUUUCUCUGGAAGGGGCUUGGAAUGUCAGCAAAGUGGUUGUAAAGUCCAAGUAAAUGCAGUAAACUCUCCUAGUGAAAACUUGUGUCCUGGAACAAGACUGAAACCGGAACAGACCUGAAUAUUCAGUUACAGAUGCGUUUUCAUGCGAUUGUCCAAAAGGGGGGCAAGAAGCUGUAAAUGAUAUGCCAUGAGGAGAUCAUAUUAAUAUAACACACACACACAAGCAUACCAACACACAAACAAACACACACAGACACACUCAAAAAUAAUCUCCCAGUACUUCUGUUGCAUUCCCACAAGAGUCACACCCAGUCAGAACAGUAACAUGAGAGCGUGUUUCACAGGGUCACUGCAUGCAUGGAAAUGACAGGACGCUCCGAGGUGGAAAACAAACCGAUCGAUAUCUCCUCCACCAAACUCAGAGCGUUUGAUUCUUGAGUUCGAUUCAGAGCGAUAGCGGAUCUGAAGCACCCAGGGCAAGUCCCUAACACUGACGGCCCCGGUGGUUCGCCUGAGCGCUGGCACUCUGAAAGGGACAGCAAUAUCCACUGAUGUAAUGUGAGAGAUAGUGAUCUUUUAUGUGCUGCUUUAUAACUUGUGGGCGUAAUGUGAGUUUGGGGGGCGUGAGGGGGUGAUGAAGCAGUGUCGCUGGAAUCCGCAGUGUUGUGAGAGCUUCAUACCUUUCAGCUUCAUUAAACCAAUUUCACGCCGAGGUGAGCUAAGAGAGGAAACUCGGAGUCUCUGCCGCCGUAACAAUGGCGCAUUGAAGGGACGAGGCGAAAGUAAAUUAGGUACCACUUCACAGACGGCAAAUUAAAAUCUGAAAGUUGGAUAGGAAAAGUUGAGGGGGAGAUGAUUAUGUCUUUAUUGUGCUGCUCUCAAUCUAAAAAACCCUACCCAUCCUUUUAGCAACCACCUUUGCCCCCCACCCCCCAAGCCUCUCUGCUCAGAAGAAAUAAUGAUCUAUUUCUUGUGUGGUAAUUGGUUUCUAAGAUGCCCCUGCCAUAAAAAAGCACCGAUUUUGAAUCGUGAAGCUACUCUUAGCCUUCCUUUCAAUCACGUAAUUUGGUUCUUAUCAGUGAGAUAUGAUAUCCUGAGAGAAUCGUAUAAAUUAAACAUUAGUGUGAGUGCUUAUUUUUGUACUGUCAAUGUCAUGUCCAGAGGUGCUCAGAGGUGUGAUGUCUGUCAGGGCCUUUGCGUUAGAACCGAUUCUUCAUGUCCUUUAAUUUUAAGACACUGUCAAUGAAAUUAAAGAAAAAAA